Molecule: ribosomal RNA, 689 nt
Filed under: Hoplobatrachus occipitalis (groove-crowned bullfrog)
Lineage: Eukaryota; Metazoa; Chordata; Amphibia; Anura; Dicroglossidae
Description: partial 12S rRNA
Rfam family: Bacterial small subunit ribosomal RNA
Source: RNAcentral
ACCUAGUCCCACCACGCCCCCAAGGGUAUUCAGCAGUGAUAAAUAUUGUAUAUAAGCGCUAGCUUGAUUCAGUCACAGAGAAGAGAGCCGGCCAACUUUGGUGCCAGCCGCCGCGGCUAGACCAACUGGACUCAAAUUGAUGACCCUCGGCGUUAAGCGUGAUUAAAGCUAUAUUAAAUUAGAGUUAAACCUGCAUUUAGUAGUGAAAAGCUCGUGACAGGGAGACCCAGAAACGAAAGUUACUCUAAUCCACUUGAAUACACGACAGCUAGGAAAACAAACUGGGAUUAGAUACCCCACUAUGUCUAGCCGUAAACCAUAAACUCACACCAACCACGCCAGGGAAUUACGAGCUUUAGCUUAAAACCCAAAGGACUUGACGGUGCCCCACCCAGCUAGAGGAGCCUGUUCUAUAAUCGAUGAUCCCCGCUUAACCUAACCCUUUCUUGCUUUAUCAGCCUGUAUACCUCCGUCGUAAACCCGCCAUAUGAAUGUUUUUAGCGGAUUCAAUGGCCUUAGCCACCAGCACGUCAGGUCAAGGUGCAGCCAAUGAAAGAGGUAAGCAAUGGGCUACAAUUUCUAAUCUAGAACAUACGAACUACUGCAUGAAAACACAGUCAUGAAGGAGGAUUUAGUAGUAAAAAGAAAUCAGCGAGUUCUUUUUAACAUGGCCCUGGGGCGUGUACACA